AUUGAACGCUGGCGGCAUGCCUUACACAUGCAAGUCGAACGGCAGCACGGGGCAACCUGGUGGCGAGCGGCGAACGGGUGAGUAAUGCAUCGGAACGUGCCAUUGAGUGGGGGAUAACGUAGCGAAAGUUGCGCUAAUACCGCAUAUUCUGUGAGCAGGAAAGCAGGGGGACCGCAAGGCCUUGCGCUCUUUGAGCGGCCGAUGUCAGAUUAGCUAGUUGGUGAGGUAACGGCUUACCAAGGCGACGAUCUGUAGCGGGUCUGAGAGGAUGAUCCGCCACACUGGAACUGAGACACGGUCCAGACUCCUACGGGAGGCAGCAGUGGGGAAUUUUGGACAAUGGGCGCAAGCCUGAUCCAGCCAUGCCGCGUGAGUGAAGAAGGCCU
This 386-nucleotide ribosomal RNA is filed under the name uncultured bacterium. RNAcentral describes it as "bacterial SSU rRNA". It matches the Rfam family "Bacterial small subunit ribosomal RNA", at positions 30 to 417 of the family's 1533-position model. The record is from RNAcentral.